GAGCUAAACUUGGCAGCACAUAUCCUAAAAUUGGAACAAUACGGAGAAGAUUAGCAUGGCACUGUGCACGAAUGACAUGCAAAAUCAUGAAGCAUUCCAUAUUUUA
Small nuclear RNA from Ailuropoda melanoleuca (giant panda), 106 nucleotides. The record is from Ensembl. Lineage: Eukaryota; Metazoa; Chordata; Mammalia; Carnivora; Ursidae.